RNAcentral lists this ribosomal RNA (406 nucleotides) under uncultured bacterium. RNAcentral's name for it is "partial 16S ribosomal RNA". It matches the Rfam family "Bacterial small subunit ribosomal RNA", at positions 30 to 526 of the family's 1533-position model. The record is from RNAcentral.
AUUGAACGCUGGCGGCAGGCCUAACACAUGCAAGUCGAACGAGUGGCGGACGGGUGAGUAAUGUCUGGGGAACUGCCCGAUGGAGGGGGAUAACUACUGGAAACGGUGGCUAAUACCGCAUACCAUCGGAUGUGCCCAGAUGGGAUUAGCUAGUAGGUGGGGUAAAGGCUCACCUAGGAGACGAUCCCUAGCUGGUCUGAGAGGAUGAACAGCCACACUGGAACUGAGACACGGCCCAGACUCCUACGGGAGGCAGCAGGGGGGAAUAUUGCACAAUGGGCGCAAGCCUGAUGCAGCCAUGCCGCGUGUAUGAAGAAGGCCUUCGGGUUGUAAAGUACUUUCAGCGGGGAGGCGUUACCCGCAGAAGAAGCACCGGCUAACUCCGUGCCAGCAGCCGCGGUAAUAC